RNAcentral lists this long non-coding RNA (271 nucleotides) under Ananas comosus (pineapple). RNAcentral's name for it is "long non-coding RNA (ACOM_LNC005577)". Lineage: Eukaryota; Viridiplantae; Streptophyta; Magnoliopsida; Poales; Bromeliaceae. The record is from RNAcentral.
GGGUGAGCGAUGGUGUGUUCCGGUGUCGAAUUGGACACUUCCGGGAACCCGGAUCGGAACGAUUAUCCGACGAUAAUCGUUUCGAUGUGAGGCAGUAUGUUUGCUGCCAUGUCGCAAGAAUAUUUGUGUUUAGUGGCAGUGGGUGACUCGUAGCAUAGGUCGGUGCUUUCCGUGACAGUUUGUGGGUCCCGGCAGAGUCUCGGUGCGAUUUUCAGGACUUCCAGCGAGUUACGAUAAUCGGUUUUGGAAAACCGAUUUCCAUGGGUUUAUU